UUGGGGUAGCCCCCAAAAUAUUGGGACAUAUAAAAAAAAGACAACUCUGUUCCGCAAAGUAGCUGUUGACAUUAUAGUUGUACAGGCACUUUGUUGACUCUAGAGAACCUUGGGCCAAUCGCACAUCCCCGUGGCGGUGACUUUUCAUGCGGAUGUCAUCCAUAUCAACUUUCGAUGCCAGUUUCUGCGCCUACCAUGGUGACCACGGGUAACGGGGAAUCAGGAUUCCAUUCCGUACAGGGAGCCUGAGAAACAGCUACCACAUGCAAGGAAGGCAGCAGGCGCGCAAAUGACCCACUCCCUACGCAGGAAGGUAGUGACGA
Molecule: non-coding RNA, 323 nt
Organism: Pelobates cultripes (western spadefoot toad)
Lineage: Eukaryota; Metazoa; Chordata; Amphibia; Anura; Pelobatidae
Source: the annotation of a GenBank genome assembly